Molecule: non-coding RNA, 93 nt
Organism: Mycena floridula
Lineage: Eukaryota; Fungi; Basidiomycota; Agaricomycetes; Agaricales; Mycenaceae
Source: the annotation of a GenBank genome assembly
UCCGGUAUGGUGUAACGGCUAACAUUGCCGCCUUUCAUUCCAAGGUUGGAGAGGAUGUCGCGGCAGCUCGGGGUUCGAUUCCCCGUACCGGAA